GAAGGUAUAGCUGGGUGGUAGAGCACGUGCUUAGCAUGUACGGGGUCCUGGGGUCAAUCCCCUGUACCUCCA
RNAcentral lists this transfer RNA (72 nucleotides) under Camelus bactrianus (Bactrian camel). It matches the Rfam family "tRNA". From Rfam's summary of the family: Transfer RNA (tRNA) molecules are approximately 80 nucleotides in length. Their secondary structure includes four short double-helical elements and three loops (D, anti-codon, and T loops). The record is from Rfam by way of RNAcentral. Lineage: Eukaryota; Metazoa; Chordata; Mammalia; Artiodactyla; Camelidae. RNAcentral also lists the same sequence under 3 other names.